GGGACUGUAGCUCCGUGGCAGAGUGCUUGCCUAGAAUGUAUGAGGCACUGGGUUCGUUCCCUAGUACCA
This 69-nucleotide transfer RNA is filed under the name Marmota monax (woodchuck). RNAcentral describes it as "tRNA.Ser". Lineage: Eukaryota; Metazoa; Chordata; Mammalia; Rodentia; Sciuridae. The record is from RNAcentral.